AGCCUUCAAAGCCCUAAGCAAGUACAAUUUACUUAAUUCCUG
Molecule: transfer RNA, 42 nt
Filed under: Bos primigenius (aurochs)
Lineage: Eukaryota; Metazoa; Chordata; Mammalia; Artiodactyla; Bovidae
Description: partial tRNA-Trp
Source: RNAcentral